UCGCACGUUUCGAGGCGGAAAGACGCGUGAAAUUCUGCCGGAUACAUAAUACACAAGAACGCCUGUAUACUGGCGACUGAUUUAAUGAUUCCAAGAACUGCUGGCCUACGCAGUUGUGCAGCCGUUUGAGUGUGUGGCAGCCGUCUGGCAGUGUGUGGUAGCGUCAAGAAUGGGUCGCCACCAGUUUACAAUAGACUCUUUACGUUUCCAAUGAUUGAUUUAAUGGCAAGGUCAUUGCGAGGCAAGUCCCGAAACUUCCGCUAUAUUGGUGUUCUUGUGUAUGAAUUUAACUUUACGUUCCAAAGAAACCUGUUCUUAGGAAUAUGGUAGUGGUUAAAUACUUCGCAAGCUGUGAGGAAGCUUUCGCUUAACACUGUUUGGGAGCAGAACUUUGAAUUUCCUCAGAAAAUGCUGAGAUAACUAUGAACUUCCCCUACAACUUCGUGGAUCAUCGAGUUAAGGAAAAAUUAAUAGGGAUUAUCACCUAGAAAAUAUUUUCGUCGAAUUUGCAGCUCACUGGAUACAUGCCGAAGCACCUUAUUAUCAUCCAAAUUUUAACAAAUACUAUUCCGGCGCAGAACUUGUAUCAAAUCCUAUAUUCCCAAAUCUUGAAAGAUUUUAUCUAACUCUAUGUUUUCGAAAAAUCGUGUACUUUUCUAUACAAAUAUUCUCAUUGAAUUAGAUUAAAAUUAACUUGAUAGAGUUUUUACGACAAUACCUUUUAGAAAAGUAUAAUAUAUUUCGAGGAGUAGAAUUGGAUAGAAAUCUUCCAGGCUUUGGAAAAUAGGAUUGGAUAUGAGUUUGGUUCGAAUAAGAUUUGAUUGAGAUUCAAUAAAAGACUCAUGAUACGAAACGUAUAAGUUUUAACAAAGGAUAAGCUUUGAUGGAACAUUUUGAGAGACAUAGGAUUCGAUACAACUCAGUAGAAGUGGCGAAUCGGAAUGAAAAGUGUAUCUUCGAAAUUCGAAUCGCCGGUAUGGAUUGCUAUGGGGUAUAAGCCGGAUAAGACCAAGUUGUCCAAGUCCAUAUCCAAGUACCUUAUAAUUGAGUGAUCUGCUAAAAAGAGGUCUGGCAGGAGGAGACCUGGUCCUGUCACGUGGAGAAGAUUUGGGCCUGUCAGGAGGCGGAGUUGUGCGACGAGGAGAUGAUGAAGAAAAAGGUGGACGAAGAUGCAAUUCCAAGUCAAGAUUUUUAUGGCAAUCACUAUUAGAGUUACAGAUAGACUGUAAACUUAAUUCUGUAAGAAGAAAUAGAGGAUUAAUUUUUACAAUCCAUAAAUAUAUUCUAUGAGUAUAAAAUUUUUUAAAAUGAGAUAUAGAACAAAAUGAAAUAUCUCAUCUCGAAAUAUCUUUGCUUUUCGUCUCUUGUUUCUAAUGCGUUAGAGAAAGCUAAACUAUUUAAACUGCUACUCGGCGUACCGAUUUUCAUUUUCGACACGCUUUCAAAUUUGCCAUUAUAAUUCAAGAACAAGUAAAUGUUUUAUUAUGUCCUUGGUCUUAUUUUGUAGAGGAUAUUUCAAACUUUAAUUUAGAAAGGUUUCAAUAUUUUCAUUUACUUCCCCAAAGCAUGCAGUAAGUGAAAACAGGUAUGUCUUUCUCACAUGCUAUCUGGGUCCCCAUUUAUCGAAUGUACCUUACUUUGCGCUCAGUUAAAGCCAUAGGCAGGGAGGGUGGAGACGGGUUUGACCCCUCUGAAAUUGUUUUAAACAUGUACAUAAUAAACAUAUAAUCUCCUGUAUGCAUAGUUGCAAUAUACAAUCUCUGCAUGUGCACAGAUACAUAGAUUGGACAAAUUAUAAUUUUCGGAAAGCCUGAAAAUGUUUUUAAAGUAAUGUUAGAUGUAUUAUAUUAUUAUAUUUACCAAUAGUAUUACAAAAAAGAGCGAAGAAUAAAACCAGGCUAUAAACGAUACUCAUAUUUUCCAAUAAGAAGACAAACUGUAGCUAAUAAUGAAGCUAAUAAGUAUUCUGUUUCUUUAUUGCAGUAAAUGCUGACUCAAACUUGUCUUUCUGAGAUUAUACUAACCGAUUCUUAUCUUACGAGAUUGUAUAUAUAUUUCAUGAGUCAGGUUGAAAUACAGCAAUUUAUAUAAUAUAGCACGUUUAAGUAAGAGCUCCUUUUACAUCGGAAAUGUAUAUAGUGGCUACUAUAGCGUUCCAUUGAAGAUUUCGAAAAACAAAUAUAAGCUUCACAAAAUGAUAUAGGCGACUAAGAAUAAUAAAUCAGAAUGUGAUAAUUAAGAACUUAAAAGUCUUAGUGCGCAAUUUCAAUUUUAAUUUCUUUAGUAUAAAUUACAUAAAACUCAAAUAUUUAUUUAUCAAAGGCAGCGUUUUAUCAAAUUCUAGUUACCAAAUCAUACUUCUCGUAUAUUUAAACAUUUUUUCAAAUUUUUUGAUUUUUUAAAAAUAUGUAAACCUUUGCGAAAUCUUAUCGCAGGUGUGCAUAUAUUCGUGACCGAUGGCGUUUAUAUGAAUAAAAAAUAACCCGAUAUAGUUUAUAAUAUGAUCAUUAUAUUUAUUUAUUUUAAAUGAACUAUCAAUCGUUUAGUAAACUAUGAAUUUAG
This is a long non-coding RNA of Belonocnema kinseyi, 2562 nucleotides long. RefSeq lists it as uncharacterized. The record is from RefSeq and is a predicted model, not a curated record. Lineage: Eukaryota; Metazoa; Arthropoda; Insecta; Hymenoptera; Cynipidae. The transcript is spliced from 5 exons.